GGGUCAGUAGGUUGGUCGUGCCACCGGUACGUACUGGUCUCACUGAUUCCUCCUUCCUGAAGAACCGUAAUGCCAUUAAUCUAGUGUUGCGGGGAAACAGGACUGUUACUUUGAAAAAAUUAGAGUGUUUAAAGCAAGCUAACGCUUGAAUACAUUAGCAUGGAAUAAUGAAAUAGGACGAUCGAUCCUAUUUUGUUGGUUUCUAGGAUUGACGUA
This 216-nucleotide ribosomal RNA is filed under the name Glomeromycotina sp. RNAcentral describes it as "partial small subunit ribosomal RNA". The stretch from base 40 to 216 matches the Rfam family "Eukaryotic small subunit ribosomal RNA", at positions 686 to 864 of the family's 1831-position model. Lineage: Eukaryota; Fungi; Glomeromycota. The record is from RNAcentral.